This 131-nucleotide long non-coding RNA is filed under the name Lynx canadensis (Canada lynx). Its description in RNAcentral is "lncRNA (ENSLCNG00005019107.1)". The record is from RNAcentral. Lineage: Eukaryota; Metazoa; Chordata; Mammalia; Carnivora; Felidae.
UGAUGAAGACUAUUGACAAUGCUGCCCUGAUUUUUCUGAUGUCCUACACCAGGAGGAGCUAGUCGGAUCACCAUCCACAUCUACUUGUUCCCAUCUCCUGCUUUUGCUUCUAUGCAAUAUAAAGAUUUAAA